This 2348-nucleotide long non-coding RNA is filed under the name Triticum aestivum (bread wheat). RNAcentral's name for it is "long non-coding RNA (TAES_LNC022324)". Lineage: Eukaryota; Viridiplantae; Streptophyta; Magnoliopsida; Poales; Poaceae. The record is from RNAcentral.
AGAAUCAUUGCAUCGAUACAUACACAUUCAGGACAUAGGAAUUGGUUCACGAAACAACAAAAGGCUUCAGUCCAAAAUCAAGCUAUACAUAGACCAAAAGGCUUUAGUCCAAAAGCAAGCCAAGACUAUCCAUUGUAAUAUAACAAAUACAAUAACCAGGUCAUGGCAUGUGUUGAUCAAGCAAGAUGCAAUGCGAGAUAAUAAAACUUCUUAGUUAGGUUAUUAUAGCCUAAUACUUGAUAGCUCGACCGGGUUGUCUCCUUGAUUAAAUCGUUACACGUCACGACCUUUGCGCUUUAGUGCCUCUCCGAAGAAAGUCACAGAAUACCUCAUGUUCGCGCCCUUGACUCUGCCUUCUCAACACGAAAGAAAUGACGGAAGCACUUGUCGUGGCUAGUUACCGUGAAGGAAGAAUGGUGUUGCGGGGUGACCAGUCCGUCGCCGCCGCCGCUUGCCUGGUAUGACUCAUGAGAUAGGAUACAUGAAUUAAGCCACAAUCAACAUCAUUGUUUUGUUUUCAAAUUCAGGGGCAGCAAGCAAAGCAAUAUUAAUUCUCUCCGAGAUGGACAUGUUCUCAUGUUCUAUCUAUUAGUAUAGUUAUCCAAGGAAAUCCUAGGAAUAACAGAUGGACAUGGAUAAUUUAAUAAACAACAAUGAACAAUGAAUUUAUGAACAAAGUGGAGCAGUAUUACUGAGCAAUAAAUUUCUUGAAAAACCAAAGUGAAGGUACUGAGAGAGAACUCUAACAUCACAGUAAGCCAAAACUGCUUGAACUGAACAUAUUUAAUUAACUAAAAAAAUGUAAAGGCAUGUCUGAUCCUACUACUAUCCAAUUGAGGAACUGACACUAUUUCCCUAGUCCCCACAGCAAACACAACACCCACAUCCAAUUCUGGAAGAUUCAUUUUAAUUAUUUUUCAUGCUUUAUCCCUUAAAUAUACUAAAAAGAUGAGAACUGGAGAAGUCCCUGCUCCAUCAGUCAGGAUCUCAAGUUCUUUUUGUUGCUGUCGGGAUCCUAAGUUAGGUAGUAGUACUUGUGUACCAUCCAAUUGGCUCGCUCAGCUUGAAUAAUCAAUAUUUGUUUAAAGGUUUUGCUAUAUACUGCUCGACUAAAAUAUCGAUCGGUGGUGUUCAUACAGGUUUUGUUUUUCGUUCAUAAAUGGUUAAGAAAGAAAGUGACAUAUGUGGCUAAUCAUAUCCUUGGUAUUUUUUUUAAAUCACCUGGGAGACAUAUAUCAAAUUUGAUUUAUACUUACUAUUUUCAUAGAUCAACGUGGAUGUGAGACCAUCUUCUUCAAGCUCUGAAAGCUGUCUCCUGCAGGGCUCCUUCCUCGUCAUCACUUUGCGGGUGCCCUCCAUUCUUUUCAUCACCAGCUUCAUUUUUCAACCUCAUCCCCUCUUCCCAAAUAUGAAGAAAAAUGCCCGCAAUGCUAGCGCAACCUGCGCAGAAUCAACUGAAAUGUAUGAGCAAGAUACAGCACACCCAAGUUUUAGUAAGCUAAGAAUGAAAUAAUGUAUGUUUUGUCAAGCUAGCAAAAAUAGUAAAUCAUUCCAGCUAGUGUUUUUAUUUCCAUUCAUGAGUAGUUGACACCAAGUUAUCUUUUCUCUUUCUUGGUGUGAGACUGCACCUACAUAUUCAAUUUUCUGUCGAGCUCAUGUAGGAAUCUGAGUAUGUAGGUAACUAACACCAAGACUAUCUUUUCUCUUUCUUUGUUUGAGACAGCACCUACAUAUGGGCCGCUGCCUUAAUGUUUGGUCAAGUGAUGUACACACUAAAUUUGUUUGCUGAAGCCACUACCGAAGCUCACUAUUUGAUAAUAUGAACAGAAAGAAUCAUAUAGUUCAAAUUAUGUUUCGACUGGAUUAGGAAGCAGAGGAAUAUAUCAUAUUGAGGGAAUGUAAAAGCAUUACUUGCACGAUGGAAGCGAUGAAGAAAUACUUGCUAGUGUUUGCAAAACCAGUUCAACUUCGCUGCCAUCUAUUUUCACUUAUCCAGAGACAGAACCAAGCACCCAGAGUUGUUCUGCAUCAAAGGAAAUAAAUGACAUAGUGAUACAGGUAUCCCCUUGACCCAGUACUUCGACGAAAAGCAUACAAAUGUGGAUAGUAAUCUGACACUGAAAAAAUUCAUAGAAAUUAAGCAGGUAAAGAAUAAUAUGGGAAACCAAACAUAAUCUUUACUUGUGUUUUCUAUAAAAAUGGCUAAAAAUUCAUAGCAAUUAACAGUGAGGGAUACACUAAUGAGGGAACUCUUAAAAUGAAUAAAUCACCUCACAUAAUCUUUACUUGUGUGUUUCUAUAAAAAAACAAUCUGUACUUAUUAGUUAAAGGCCUUCACAAUAUAGUCC